RNAcentral lists this small RNA (1033 nucleotides) under Pongo abelii (Sumatran orangutan). RNAcentral describes it as "processed transcript". Lineage: Eukaryota; Metazoa; Chordata; Mammalia; Primates; Hominidae. The record is from RNAcentral.
AGGCACAGGAGGGAAUCUCCUGGUCUGCUGGUUGCUAAGACUGUGGGAAAAGUGCAGUAUUUGGGCAGGAGUGUCCUGUUUCUUCAGGUGCAGACUAUGACGGCUUCCCUUGGGUAGGAAAGGGAAAUCACCCAACCUCUUGCGCUUCCCAGGUGAGGUGAUGCCCCGCCCUGCUUCAGCUCACUCUCUAUGGGCUGUACCCACUGUCUACCCAUCCCAGUGAGAUGAACUAGGUACCUCAGUUGGAAAUGCAGAAAUCACCCGUCUUCUACAUCGAUCUCACUGGGAGCUGCAGAGUGGGGCUGUUCCUAUUUGGCCAUCUUGGAAGCAAAAACCCAUAGGGUUUUUGAGCCUUGUGGAUGAAAGUCGUCUUCUGAUUUAUUUGCAACUUGUGGGUGAUUUCCUGGGAGCACAGCCUCUGCACACAAUCUCAUGGCAGGGCUGGUCAGGGGCAGUGAGCCUGGAUGUAGUCAGCUGACCUGUUUGAGGCAGUUCUGAGAAAAAUGAAGUGAGAAUCCUCACUGAAGACCCCUGAUGGGAGUAUACCUUCAGUAUCACCUCCAAUGAGAAGCACUUGGAGAGCCUCAAGAAUGCGGGCAGCCUCCUGCGGGCUCUGGAGCGGCUGGCCCCCGGGAGUGGUUCAUUUGCCGACAGCGUGGUGGCUCCCUUGGCCCUGGAAAUCCUCCAAGCUGUUGGACGCUAGGCAAGAAAGUGCUUAGCACAAGCCCACCCUGUGGCCCCAGCCCUCGGAUGCACAAGCGAGGUCAGCUCCCAGAUACCUUUGCCACAUCCCCUCACAGCUGUAUUUGGACCUAAUAAAGUCAGCUUAACCCAGAACCUGGUGGCCCAAGUGCUCACUAACCCCAGGGCCUAGAAAACUGACUCAGAAUGGACUUCCUUGGUUCCUGUGGAAUGCAUCUGGGAAGCCCAGGUUUGUUAGCUGUUCUCAGAAAUGUUCUUUUCCUCUCUGUGUGGGCCAGGUGGGCUAAGGUUAGCACUGCCUGUGGUAAUAAAGCAGUGGAUGCGAAGCACA